Molecule: ribosomal RNA, 1449 nt
Filed under: Staphylococcus aureus
Lineage: Bacteria; Bacillati; Bacillota; Bacilli; Caryophanales; Staphylococcaceae
Description: partial 23S ribosomal RNA
Rfam family: Bacterial large subunit ribosomal RNA
Source: RNAcentral
UAAGGGCGCACGGUGGAUGCCUUGGCACUAGAAGCCGAUGAAGGACGUUACUAACGACGAUAUGCUUUGGGGAGCUGUAAGUAAGCUUUGAUCCAGAGAUUUCCGAAUGGGGAAACCCAGCAUGAGUUAUGUCAUGUUAUCGAUAUGUGAAUACAUAGCAUAUCAGAAGGCACACCCGGAGAACUGAAACAUCUUAGUACCCGGAGGAAGAGAAAGAAAAUUCGAUUCCCUUAGUAGCGGCGAGCGAAACGGGAAGAGCCCAAACCAACAAGCUUGCUUGUUGGGGUUGUAGGACACUCUAUACGGAGUUACAAAGGACGACAUUAGACGAAUCAUCUGGAAAGAUGAAUCAAAGAAGGUAAUAAUCCUGUAGUCGAAAAUGUUGUCUCUCUUGAGUGGAUCCUGAGUACGACGGAGCACGUGAAAUUCCGUCGGAAUCUGGGAGGACCAUCUCCUAAGGCUAAAUACUCUCUAGUGACCGAUAGUGAACCAGUACCGUGAGGGAAAGGUGAAAAGCACCCCGGAAGGGGAGUGAAAUAGAACCUGAAACCGUGUGCUUACAAGUAGUCAGAGCCCGUUAAUGGGUGAUGGCGUGCCUUUUGUAGAAUGAACCGGCGAGUUACGAUUUGAUGCAAGGUUAAGCAGUAAAUGUGGAGCCGUAGCGAAAGCGAGUCUGAAUAGGGCGUUUAGUAUUUGGUCGUAGACCCGAAACCAGGUGAUCUACCCUUGGUCAGGUUGAAGUUCAGGUAACACUGAAUGGAGGACCGAACCGACUUACGUUGAAAAGUGAGCGGAUGAACUGAGGGUAGCGGAGAAAUUCCAAUCGAACCUGGAGAUAGCUGGUUCUCUCCGAAAUAGCUUUAGGGCUAGCCUCAAGUGAUGAUUAUUGGAGGUAGAGCACUGUUUGGACGAGGGGCCCCUCUCGGGUUACCGAAUUCAGACAAACUCCGAAUGCCAAUUAAUUUAACUUGGGAGUCAGAACAUGGGUGAUAAGGUCCGUGUUCGAAAGGGAAACAGCCCAGACCACCAGCUAAGGUCCCAAAAUAUAUGUUAAGUGGAAAAGGAUGUGGCGUUGCCCAGACAACUAGGAUGUUGGCUUAGAAGCAGCCAUCAUUUAAAGAGUGCGUAAUAGCUCACUAGUCGAGUGACACUGCGCCGAAAAUGUACCGGGGCUAAACAUAUUACCGAAGCUGUGGAUUGUCCUUUGGACAAUGGUAGGAGAGCGUUCUAAGGGCGUUGAAGCAUGAUCGUAAGGACAUGUGGAGCGCUUAGAAGUGAGAAUGCCGGUGUGAGUAGCGAAAGACGGGUGAGAAUCCCGUCCACCGAUUGACUAAGGUUUCCAGAGGAAGGCUCGUCCGCUCUGGGUUAGUCGGGUCCUAAGCUGAGGCCGACAGGCGUAGGCGAUGGAUAACAGGUUGAUAUUCCUGUACCACCUAUAAUCGUUUUAAU